This 308-nucleotide ribosomal RNA is filed under the name Clostridioides difficile. RNAcentral's name for it is "partial 23S ribosomal RNA". It matches the Rfam family "Bacterial large subunit ribosomal RNA", at positions 783 to 1091 of the family's 2925-position model. The record is from RNAcentral. Lineage: Bacteria; Bacillati; Bacillota; Clostridia; Peptostreptococcales; Peptostreptococcaceae.
CGAGCGUUGAAAAGCUCGGGGAUGACUUGUGGGUAGCGGUGAAAUUCCAAUCGAGCCCGGAGAUAGCUGGUUCUCCCCGAAAUAGCUUUAGGGCUAGCCUCAAGGGGAGAGAUACGGAGGUAGAGCACUGAAUGUCCUAGGGGGUAUUGCACCUACCGAAGACUAUCAAACUCCGAAUGCCGUCAUCUUAUACUUGGGAGUCAGACUGUGGGUGAUAAGAUUCAUAGUCGAAAGGGCAACAGCCCAGAUCGUCAGCUAAGGUCCCUAAAUGUAAGUUAAGUGGUAAAGGAUGUGGGAUUGCACAGACA